CCGAGAAUAUUCGACAAUGGGCGAAAGCCUGAUCGAGCGAUACCGCGUGGUGGAUGAAGCGCUUCGGCGCGUAAACACCUUUUAUGAGGGAAGAAGUCAUUGACGGUACCUCAUGAAUAAGGGGCUCCUAACUCUGUGCCAGCAGGAGCGGUAAUACAGAGGCCCCAAGCGUUACCCGGAAUUACUGGGCGUAAAGGGUGCGUAGGUGGUCAUGUUAGUCGUCUGUCAAAUACCAGGGCUCAACUCUGGAACCGCAGGCGAAACGGCAUGACUCGAGGGAGUGAGAGGUGAAUGGAACUCAUGGUGUAGGGGUGAAAUCCGUUGAUAUCAUGGGGAACACCGAAAGCGAAGGCAAUUCACUGGCACUUUCCUGACACUCAAGCACGAAAGCGUGGGUAGCGAACGGGAUUAGAUACCCCUGUAGUCC
RNAcentral lists this ribosomal RNA (427 nucleotides) under uncultured bacterium. Its description in RNAcentral is "bacterial SSU rRNA". It matches the Rfam family "Bacterial small subunit ribosomal RNA", at positions 355 to 796 of the family's 1533-position model. The record is from RNAcentral.